CCACAGUCAGGUGGCUUAACACACUCACAAGGCUUCAAUUACUGUCGGCGCAGAGUGGAACGAAUUUGCUGGAGCAGAGAAGCCGGAGUGAACACCGAGGAAUGAGGCAUCCAGGGCCUGAAGUGCCCCCUGCCCCCCAUAAGUCAAUUUUGACCCCCUUCCCUCUCAGAAAAUCACGGUGACAUCUAGCCUCUAACCUGAAACACGGCUAACCGGCCACCCUGCGAGGGUCUGGAGAAAAAGCAGCCCUUGACUCAGUUCUGUGCUGGGUCCUUGAGGAGACAGAUUACUGAAGGUGACGUUUCUCCAGCACCAGCACCACGAACCGUAGCAGCCCCAGUGCCUCCUGCAGAGCUGCCGGGUCCUUGUGCAGGGACAUCAGCGACUCCUGCGCAACAGGCUCCUGGGAAAAGACUUUUUGCCAGGAAACCAGCAGUGCAGGUACAGCCACACGCACAAAUUUUCCCAUUAUCUACAUUU
Molecule: long non-coding RNA, 480 nt
Organism: Falco peregrinus (peregrine falcon)
Lineage: Eukaryota; Metazoa; Chordata; Aves; Falconiformes; Falconidae
Exons: 2
Source: RefSeq, a predicted model, not a curated record